UACGUAGGGGGCAAGCGUUGUCCGGAUUUACUGGGCGUAAAGAGCGUGUAGGCGGCCAGGUAGGUCCGGUGUGAAAACUCGAGGCUUAACCUCGAGAUGUCAUCGGAAACCAUCUGGCUAGAGUCCGGAAGAGGAAAGUGGAAUUCCUGGUGUAGCGGUGAAAUGCGCAGAUAUCAGGAAGAACACCAAUGGCGAAAGCAGCUUUCUGGGACGGUACUGACGCUGAGACGCGAAAGCGUGGGGAGCGAACAGG
RNAcentral lists this ribosomal RNA (253 nucleotides) under uncultured bacterium. Its description in RNAcentral is "partial 16S ribosomal RNA". It matches the Rfam family "Bacterial small subunit ribosomal RNA", at positions 524 to 776 of the family's 1533-position model. The record is from RNAcentral.